Molecule: ribosomal RNA, 253 nt
Filed under: uncultured bacterium
Lineage: Bacteria
Description: partial 16S ribosomal RNA
Rfam family: Bacterial small subunit ribosomal RNA
Source: RNAcentral
CACGUAGGGUGCGAGCGUUGUCCGGAAUUAUUGGGCGUAAAGAGCUCGUAGGCGGCUUGUCGCGUCGGAUGUGAAAGCCCGGGGCUUAACCCCGGGUCUGCAUUCGAUACGGGCAGGCUAGAGUUCGGUAGGGGAGAUCGGAAUUCCUGGUGUAGCGGUGAAAUGCGCAGAUAUCAGGAGGAACACCGGUGGCGAAGGCGGAUCUCUGGGCCGAUACUGACGCUGAGGAGCGAAAGCGUGGGGAGCGAACAGG